AAUUUAGGGUGAAACAACGGGGUUUUAAAUUUUUUUGGGAAAUUUGAAACACAUGAUUACCAGGCAGUCUUUCAGGAUCAUAUUCUGGAUCAAAUUU
Molecule: transfer RNA, 97 nt
Filed under: Dehalococcoidia bacterium
Lineage: Bacteria; Bacillati; Chloroflexota; Dehalococcoidia
Description: tRNA-Gln
Source: RNAcentral